Molecule: non-coding RNA, 86 nt
Organism: Saccoglossus kowalevskii
Lineage: Eukaryota; Metazoa; Hemichordata; Enteropneusta; Harrimaniidae
Source: Rfam
UUAGAAAUAACGUGUUGUGAUAGUUGUCUUAUUCUCCUGCUUUUAAUACCGAGAAUAAGUCCAUUGUUGCACCAUGUUAUUUCCAC